AGAAUCAACGCUGGCGGCGUGCCUAACACAUGCAAGUCGAACGAGAAAGGGGAGCAAUCCCUGAGUAAAGUGGCGCACGGGUGAGUAACACGUGACUAACCUACCCUGGAGUGGGGGAUAACUGAGGGAAAACCUUAGCUAAUACCGCAUAAUACCCACGGGUCAAAGGAGCAAUUCGCUCCAGGAGGGGUCGCGGCCGAUUAGUUAGUUGGCGGGGUAAUGGCCCACCAAGACGAUGAUCGGUAU
This 246-nucleotide ribosomal RNA is filed under the name uncultured bacterium. Its description in RNAcentral is "partial small subunit ribosomal RNA". It matches the Rfam family "Bacterial small subunit ribosomal RNA", at positions 26 to 286 of the family's 1533-position model. The record is from RNAcentral.